AGUCGAGGGGUAUUGUUCUUCGGAAUGAGAGACCGGCGCACGGGUGCGUAACGCGUAUGCAAUCUACCUUUCACAGAGGGAUAGCCCAGAGAAAUUUGGAUUAAUACCUCAUAGUAUGCAGAGUUGGCAUCAACACUGCAUUAAAGUCACAACGGUGAAAGAUGAGCAUGCGUCCCAUUAGCUAGUUGGUAAGGUAACGGCUUACCAAGGCUACGAUGGGUAGGGGUCCUGAGAGGGAGAUCCCCCACACUGGUACUGAGACACGGACCAGACUCCUACGGGAGGCAGCAGUGAGGAAUAUUGGACAAUGGGCACAAGCCUGAUCCAGCCAUGCCGCGUGCAGGAUGACGGUCCUAUGGAUUGUAAACUGCUUUUGCACAGGAAGAAACAACUCUACGUGUAGAGUCUUGACGGUACUGUGAGAAUAAGGAUCGGCUAACUCCGUGCCAGCAGCCGCGGUAAUACGGAGGAUCCAAGCGUUAUCCGGAAUCAUUGGGUUUAAAGGGUCCGUAGGCGGUUUAGUAAGUCAGUGGUGAAAGCCCAUCGCUCAACGGUGGAACGGCCAUUGAUACUGCUAGACUUGAAUUAUUAGGAAGUAACUAGAAUAUGUAGUGUAGCGGUGAAAUGCUUAGAGAUUACAUGGAAUACCAAUUGCGAAGGCAGGUUACUACUAAUGGAUUGACGCUGAUGGACGAAAGCGUGGGUAGCGAACAGGAUUAGAUACCCUGGUAGUCCACGCCGUANACGAUGGAUACUAGCUGUUGGGAGCGAUCUCAGUGGCUAAGCGAAAGUGAUAAGUAUCCCACCUGGGGAGUACGUCCG
Molecule: ribosomal RNA, 822 nt
Filed under: uncultured Bacteroidota bacterium
Lineage: Bacteria; Pseudomonadati; Bacteroidota
Description: bacterial SSU rRNA
Rfam family: Bacterial small subunit ribosomal RNA
Source: RNAcentral